Molecule: transfer RNA, 72 nt
Filed under: Camelus bactrianus (Bactrian camel)
Lineage: Eukaryota; Metazoa; Chordata; Mammalia; Artiodactyla; Camelidae
Also listed under: 2 other names
Rfam family: tRNA
About the family: Transfer RNA (tRNA) molecules are approximately 80 nucleotides in length. Their secondary structure includes four short double-helical elements and three loops (D, anti-codon, and T loops).
Source: Rfam by way of RNAcentral
GGUGGUAUAGCUCAGUGGUAGAGUGCGUGCUUAGCAUGUAUGAGGUCCUACGUUCAAUCCCCAGUACCUCCA